This 249-nucleotide ribosomal RNA is filed under the name uncultured organism. RNAcentral's name for it is "partial 16S ribosomal RNA". It matches the Rfam family "Bacterial small subunit ribosomal RNA", at positions 355 to 596 of the family's 1533-position model. The record is from RNAcentral.
UCGAGAAUCAUUCACAAUGGGCGAAAGCCUGAUGGUGCGACGCCGCGUGGAGGAUGAAGGCCUUCGGGUCGUAAACUCCUGUCAUCAGAGAGUAAAAGCCUGCCGUUAAUAGCGGCAGGUCUUGAUAGUAUCUGAAGAGGAAGGGACGGCUAACUUCGUGCCAGCAGCCGCGGUGACACGUAGGGUCCAAGCGUUGUCCGGAUUUAUUGGGCGUAAAGAGCUCGUAGGCGGGUUAGUAAGUCGGGGGUU